CGCAUGGCGUCGUUGAAUCGGAGGGUCCGGAUGGUGCAAGUUGUUAAAACAAGUUGGUCAAAUUGCACUGUUCCCGGCCUGCUGAUCUCACUCGGCCGAUA
Molecule: microRNA precursor, 101 nt
Filed under: Capitella teleta
Lineage: Eukaryota; Metazoa; Annelida; Polychaeta; Capitellidae
Description: microRNA cte-mir-92b precursor
Gene: cte-mir-92b
Source: miRBase by way of RNAcentral